This 189-nucleotide ribosomal RNA is filed under the name uncultured bacterium. Its description in RNAcentral is "partial 16S ribosomal RNA". It matches the Rfam family "Bacterial small subunit ribosomal RNA", at positions 1313 to 1500 of the family's 1533-position model. The record is from RNAcentral.
CGCCUUCCAUGAAGCUGGAAUUGCUAGUAAUGGCAGGUCAGCAUACUGCCGUGAAUACGUUCCCGGGCCCUUGUACACACCGCCCGUCACACCAUGAGAGUUGGAAAUACCCGAAGCCUGUGAGCUAACUUAAAGAGGCAGCAGUCGAAGGUAGAGCCAAUGAUUGGGGUGAAGUCGUAACAAGGUAUC